GCCCGGGUGGCGGAAUUGGUAGACGCGCUAGAUUCAGGAUCUAGUGGGCAAUACGCCUGUAGGGGUUCGAAUCCCCUCCCGGGCA
RNAcentral lists this transfer RNA (85 nucleotides) under Bacillota bacterium. RNAcentral describes it as "Firmicutes bacterium (marine metagenome) tRNA-Leu". It matches the Rfam family "tRNA". From Rfam's summary of the family: Transfer RNA (tRNA) molecules are approximately 80 nucleotides in length. Lineage: Bacteria; Bacillati; Bacillota. The record is from RNAcentral. RNAcentral also lists the same sequence under 2 other names.